UUCGUAGGUGGCCGGCUAAGUCAGACGUGAAAUCCCUCAGCUUAACUGGGGAACUGCGUCUGAGACUGGUGGGCUUGAGUGCAGGAGAGGAACGCGGAAUUCCAGGUGUAGCGGUGAAAUGCGUAGAUAUCUGGAGGAACACCGGUGGCGAAGGCGGCGUUCUGGACUGCAACUGACACUGAGGAACGAAAGCCAGGGAGCAAACG
Molecule: ribosomal RNA, 206 nt
Filed under: uncultured bacterium
Lineage: Bacteria
Description: partial 16S ribosomal RNA
Rfam family: Bacterial small subunit ribosomal RNA
Source: RNAcentral